GGUCAGUCAACAAGCACUUAUUCAAUGCCCCCUGUAAUCACACACUGUGCCAACUGCUGGGGAAACAAAGGAAGACAAAAACCAUCCAUUCACUCAGUAAUGGAAGAGAAAUCAUGAAAGUGAAUCCAUGUGUACAAAGUGUUUACAGUGUGCAUAGAAAGUGAUCCCAGAAGAGAAGGAGCUAGCAGCUGGCAGAAGAAGGAGGGAUGAUUGGACCUGUCUGAGAAGUGGCCCAGGAGCAUGAUUCUGGAACAUCUGCUGACUAUGCAUUGCACCUUGGAUUUAUGAAACUGAUGGAAGACUUUGAAAGACCAAAGGAGAUGCUCCAAAGUGUCCAGAUAGAGCCCUGGACUUGGACUCAAGAAAUUGGGCUCACAGACUGACUUCCUCUGACAGAUCUGAGGUGUGUGAUCACAAGCACAUCUUGCCUCACUUCAUAGCCCUGGUGCCCAGGACAGGGCUUGGCAUACAGCAGCCAUCAAUCUAAGCUCAAAAUGGGGUGAUGAGCCAGGUCUUGAAUAUCUCCCAGGCCUUUAGCAAGAAGAAUCCAGGUCACAGCAGAGGCUGAUUCCCAGAGCAUGGCCAGGGCCAGGCAUGCAGUCGGUGCUUGUGCAUGGCACGUUCCUUUGAAGCCGCGUGUGGGAGGCAGCUGAUGGCCGCUCAGGAGCAGAAAGUACCCGGCUUGGCUCGAGGAAGCAGCCUAAUGACUCCAGCGGAGCCCGGCAGAAACUGUUUCUCCUGUGCCAGGCCCGUAGUUCAUAUUGAUUCAUUCUUAGUCAUUGAAUUAUCUUUAAAAAAUUUAUGGUGCAUUUUUAUAGCAAUAGCCAAUCAUGCAUAUCAUUAGUGUAUACAGCGAGGAGCCAGGACACGAGCAGACUGACGGCUGCUCUAUUAUUGAUGCAGAUGAAUUGCCAAGUGGAAAGAGUUUAAGGAAUGCAUUAAAGGAGCAAACGUCAACCCGCCACCCGAGCACGCACGCCGGCAUGCGCGCCUGGGCACAUUAGCAGACGCUUACAACGUCUGAGCCCAAAAGGAAGGAGGAGACUUUGUGACCCUAUUGCAGGGACUCGGGGGAGAAGAAAAGCCUGGUAAAGGCUCCGCCCCACAGACCCUCUUCGUUGACUCAGAUUGCCAGGAGCAGAGGCGUCCCAGAAUGCAGAUACUUGGAGGGCAGCCAUGUUUGGGGUUCUGUCCUCACAGCCCGGCAGAGGUGUUGAAUAAGUCUUUGGGGGACUGGCCCAGGGCUAGACCAUCCCCCACCCUUGGCCAACCUUGGAACCUCCCACAAUGGGAGCAUCGCAGCUGGGGACCCCUCCUUCUGCUUGCCUUCUCACAAAGACCACCCACAGAAGAGGAAUGGUUCUGAAAACGUGUCAUCGUGGCCUCUUCAUUAGUCAUGUUUUAAAAGAAAUGUCUUUGUCACGAUCACCAUGGCAACCAUUGUUGGUCUUUGGGAAAUGCUAAGGCGAGAGAUAAAUGAUGACCUUUGGGGCCCAUAAAGAAGAUUCUCUCUCCUUUUAUUCAUAGACUCUUAAUUCUAUUGCCUAGAUGGGAGGGGGUCAGGAGCAGGAGGAGGAGGCAAGAAGGGAGGAGAUGGGGGCAAUUAACAGCAUGAUCUCAUCUUUGUUGGGCAGCUUCUUUGGGGGAAAGGCUAGCUCUGGUUCACUAGGAGGUCUGAUUCUCUACCCUAUGGGUUGGGAUAUUUCCCCAGGUUCUCCUUACAGUCUCAUUACCUAGCACAAUGAUGGACAGAACCUAUGGCACAUGUGCCAAAGAUAGCAUGCUGAGUGCUGGAGCUCAUUACUAGGAAGGCAGAGGGAUGGAGGGGGAGCUACUCCCUGCCCCCUCUCCAUCCCACCAGACAACAUUUUUUUCACUUCACCCACCUUUCUGCCCAGAAGCCCAAUGAGAUCACACAGGGGGUAAAGUGGUCAGCUCACAAGUGGCUCUACACUGGCUGAGGACAUUCCUCACUUCACCUGCUCCUCUGUCAGGCAGCCCAAUGGGAGUACUUCCUCCCUCCCCUAUUUGGGGUAAGGUGGGGGCAGGGUGAACCCAGUGAAUGGGGGCGGGGGGGCAUGGCACACGAUCUCUA
Monodelphis domestica (gray short-tailed opossum) is the source of this 2095-nucleotide non-coding RNA. The record is from RefSeq and is a predicted model, not a curated record. NCBI's taxonomy places the organism in Eukaryota, Metazoa, Chordata, Mammalia, Didelphimorphia, Didelphidae.